This 1268-nucleotide long non-coding RNA is filed under the name Cyanistes caeruleus (blue tit). RNAcentral's name for it is "lncRNA (ENSCCEG00000007442.1)". Lineage: Eukaryota; Metazoa; Chordata; Aves; Passeriformes; Paridae. The record is from RNAcentral.
CUGGUGGGAGGGAAGGCCCUGCUGAAGGACACCCAGCCAGCACCAGUGACAGCCUCUGCACCCCCUGCACAGGGAGAGAUCGUUAGCAGCAGCACUAAUGAGACAAAGGGCUCAUUAAACAAGAGGCUGGGGAACAUUUGUUUCUUCCCUGGAUUAAAUCUAUGGUUGUAUUAGCAAGGGAUUGCACUGCUCAGUCCAGAAAUAAAUAGGAAUUCACCUCAGCAGUCGGGAGAAGCCUCUCCCAGCACCCUCUGAUAGGAAGCUCUCAUCCCAGGGAGUGCUGGGAUUUUGGGAAUUCCUUCCUAAACCAGCAUCCUUUUGCAUCUUCUGGGACAAGUGCAGCCAGAAAUUUCUUUGAGAUCCAGACAAUUCCCCCACAACCACUUCCAGAGGAUGCAAUAAUGUGAUUUUGGUGGGGUUUUUUUCCUUAUCAGGCUCCUUCUUGCCCCAUCCUGGUGGCCACUCAGCACAGGACUGCCAGCCCUGCUCCCCAGGCUGGUUCUGCUCCCAGCAGGGCCAGAGCUCCCCGCAGGGUUUGUGUAAGGAAGGAUGGUUUUGCCCUGCAGGCUCUGUGUCAGACCAGCACUCAGAUUAUUUGUGUCCUGUGGGUCACUACUGCCCCUCUGGCAGCCCAGAGCCCGUGCCCUGUCCCCCUGGAGAAUACCAGGAGCAGGCUGGGAAAGGCCAGUGUGAAACAUGCCCAGCAGGAAUGUUCUGUGCCCAACAGGAGCACCCAGGUGAUGCCCAGCAGAACAUCCAUGGCGUGGCCAAAGCCCUGGAAUGCCCAGCAGGCCAUUACUGCCCACCAGGAACCAGGGCUGCCAACCAGUACCCGUGUCCAGAGGGCACCUACAGCCCCCAGCCCGGCCUGGCAAACCCCAGGGACUGCAGGCCUUGUCCUGGGGGCACGUUCUGUGCCAGGACAGGUGGGAAUUGUGUGUGGAUUAAACAAAAUCCUCGUCUGCUUUGGAUCUGGGGGAGAGGGAAGUGUUCUGUGCUGUUCAUCCAAAUGUUACAGAGCAUUUGCAGCCAUUUCUGGGACCCCUUGAGCAGAUUUUAAAGGGUUUUUUGCAAACCAUGUUUUGAAAUUUAACUUAAAGGCAGAUCAAGGUGGUUUUGUUGUAGCAGAGGUUAUGAAACCAGAAAUCAAGCAGCCUGGGGGUUAGGACUCAUUUGGGUUUGUCUCUCAGUGGAAUGACUUAUAAUGAUCAGCCUCCUCUAAAAUGGUGAUUUAGGGAAAUAUUUGGGCUUUUAUCUCUCUGCUCAUC